UGUGGUCAUGGUCAGGUCGCUCAAUUCUGGUUUUCUUUUUUUAUGUAACACUGAUACCUAGUAAAAGCCUGAUAUACAGUGUUGCCAGCUUUUGUGUAAUUAUUGAUGGGAGAGCUGACAGGGACUGUGAAAAUCCUCAAGACUACCAGUUCAUUCCAGUGAGAGUACAUCACAAUACUUGUUGGAAAAAAAAAAAGAUAGAAUCUGUGAUUAGGUAUAUAAUAUAUAAUAUUACCUCUCCUUUUAUUACAGUUGUGAGGUAAGAAUCAUGCAAAGUCACAAUAUUGUGCAAAGACAUUUUAGGGAAAGAGGUUUCCCUGAGGGCCAAAAGAAAAAAAAAAAGAUCUGUACAUUUAUAACUAUACUUUGUCACACAUGGUUUCUUUGUUAGCUUCCCAUUGAUCCACUAAGAUGCCUAGGUAUGGUUACUUUAUUAAAAACUCCCUCCACUGUGUGCAAGGUACUUCCUUUGUGCUUUUCAGAAAUUAUCUUGGGGUCCAGACAGUGGCACACCUGGUUAAGUGUACACAGUACCAACAGCAAAGGACCCGGGUUUGAGUGCCGGCUCCCCACCUGCAGUGGGGAAGCUUCAUUAAUGGUGAAGCAGGUCUUUAGGUGUCUAUUUUUCACUCUCUCUCUCUCUAUCUCCCCCCUCUCUCUCAAUUUCUCCCUGUCCUAGCUAAUAAAAUGGGGGUGGGGGAUAGAAAUGGCCACUGGGAGCUAUGGGUUCCGAGCGCCCACAUGCAACCCUAGCAAUAACACUGGAGGGAAAAAAAAGAGAAAGAAAGAAAGAAAGAAAAGGAGACAAAAGACAAGAAGAGAAAAUAAGAUAAGAGAAAGGAAAAGAAAAGGAAAGAAAAGGAGAGAAAAGAAAAGAAAAGAAAAGAAAAGAAAAGAAAAGAAAAGAAA
This is a long non-coding RNA of Erinaceus europaeus (western European hedgehog), 909 nucleotides long. RefSeq lists it as uncharacterized. Lineage: Eukaryota; Metazoa; Chordata; Mammalia; Eulipotyphla; Erinaceidae. The transcript has 2 exons. The record is from RefSeq and is a predicted model, not a curated record.